RNAcentral lists this ribosomal RNA (257 nucleotides) under uncultured bacterium. RNAcentral describes it as "partial 16S ribosomal RNA". It matches the Rfam family "Bacterial small subunit ribosomal RNA", at positions 524 to 776 of the family's 1533-position model. The record is from RNAcentral.
UACGUAGGGUGCGAGCGUUUGUCCGGAAUUAUUGGGCGUAAAGAGCUCGUAGGUGGUUUGUCGCGUUGUUCGUGAAAACUCACAGCUCAACUGUGGGCGUGCGGGCGAUACGGGGCAGACUGGAGUACUGCAGGGGGAGACUGGAAUUCCUGGUGUAGCGGUGGAAUGCGCAGAUAUCAGGAGGAACACCGGUGGCGAAGGCGGGUCUCUGGGCAGUAACUGACGCUGAGGAGCGAAGGCGUGGGGGAGCGAACAGG